GUGGGAGUCUCACCCUGUUGCCCAGGCUGGAGUGCAAUGGUGCGAUCUUGGCUCACUGCAACCUCUGCCUCCCGGGUUCAAACUAUUCUCCUGCCUCAGCCUCCCUAGUAGCUGGGAUUACAAGCGCCUGCCACCACACCCAGCUAUUUUUAGUAGAGACGGGGUUUCAUCAUGUUGACCAGGCUGGUCUGCAACUCCUGAUUUCGUGAUACGCCCGCCUUGGCCUCCCAAAGGGUUGGGGUUACAGGCCUAAGCCACCACUCCCGGCUGAAAUGCAGAAGGUUUUAAAGAUGAGCUUGAGGAGGUGGUGUCUGAUUUACAUAGGGCAUGAAAGAUUGAUCGGACCAGGUGUGUUAUUUGCAUAGCACACAAAGAAGCUGGCUGCCCCACCCUAAUCUUUUCCUAUGCAGAUGGGUUUUCUACCUGCUGGAUCCAUGUUGCCUGUUCCUUUACUGUACACGUGGUGACAAAGAAAAGGGAAGAUGGAGCCUCCAUGUUGAACACGCCUGGGCCUCAAGUAACCCUUUUCUACUGGCACACCUGUGCAAGUGUCCAGCUUGCUUAUCACAGAUUACAUAGGAUUUUGAAACAAAUUGCUGAGUUCCACCUAAAGGAAGACUUUCCUAAUGCCAAUGUCAUGUUAGGAAGAUCUUUCUUCAUUUCAACUAACAAAGCGCUGGUACACUAGUGAACAAGUUAAAUAAUUGGAUAUAUAAAACCUCUUCAACUAGAAGUUUGUUGGUUUGUUUUUGAGACAAAGUCUCACUUUCACCCAAGCUGGAGUGCAGUGGUGCAAUCUCAGCUCACUGCAACUUCCGCCUCCUGGGUUCAAGCGAUUCUCCUGCCUCCGCCUCCUGAGUAGCUGGGACUACAGGGGUGGUUAGUUUUUGUAUUUUUAGUAGAGACCGGGUUUCACUAUGUUAGCCAGACUGGUCUUGAACUCCUGACCUCGUGAUCUGCCUGCCUCAGCCUCCCAAAGUGCUGGGAUUACAGGCGUGAGUCACUGUGCCCAGCCUCAACGAGAAGUUUUAAAAUAGUAAAUGGAAUUGCAUGUCUGUGUGAUUCUUAAGCCAUUUUACCUUCUCGCUCAAAGUGACUCUUAUCACUAAUACCAAAACAAUACCCAUCAUGCCAGUUGCCAUAUGUACUUCUGCCUCAUCUCCAGGGAGGUUUAGCUAAGGGGAAAUGAUGGGGUCAAAUCAAGCCGACGGAUGAACUGCAGACAGAUGGGAACUGCCCUGGGGAUGGGGUCUAUGUCCUAUUCAUUUUUACAAAUAAAGACCUGACACAUAACA
RNAcentral lists this long non-coding RNA (1295 nucleotides) under Piliocolobus tephrosceles (Ugandan red Colobus). RNAcentral describes it as "lncRNA (ENSPTEG00000016035.1)". Lineage: Eukaryota; Metazoa; Chordata; Mammalia; Primates; Cercopithecidae. The record is from RNAcentral.